UAGAUUGCCAAAUGAUACUUCACGCUAUCAUUUUAUUUGUUGACCCUUCUAAUGCACCACUUCUAAUCUACUCUGGACCACCAAACCAGGUCCCAGGAGAGUCAAAAAAAGGAGAGAAAAGAAUUGAGUAGGGGCAGCUGGAGUGAGGACAAAACCAGCUCAAGAGGAGGACCAGGGAGAGGACUCGUAGCUCCUCAGCUCCUGCUUUGCAUCAGGCACAAGGGCUAGUUCUUUUUCUCCAGGAUGGAUUUGAAAAAAACAGAUAACCACUGUCUGAUUCGAGAACUGUAGUCAGUCAUGAGACAAUGACGCUUGGCGCGCUGAAAGCUCUGCAAGAAGUGGUCGGGUGAUUAGUUGGGGUGAAAAUGCUUACACGUGGAACCCGAAUGUGCUUUCAUGGAUGAAGUCUACACCAGCCAUGGAGGGGCCCCUCGCUGUUCUGCCAUCCACCCCGGCUUUUCCCCUCUCUACCAUUACGUGGGGAGCUCCGGUUACUGAGCACUGGUCUGCCAGCUUCCUCUCCCCUCCCCCAAACCGCACGGUCCUCUAAGUAUUUCUGGAGCAAGAGCAACCAGGCAUUUAAUGACGUAAGUCAUGUCUCUUGACUAGAAAGAUUAAUGGGCCAGGCAUGUUAUGUACCCUUGAUAAGAGAGAUUCGGGCUCCACCCUUCAGGGCCUAAACUCCCAACAAAAUCCAGCUGGGGAGUGUCAAUUCAGACAUCUCCAUAAAAGGAUAAAUAAAACCAUGCGAAUGAUACACACCUA
Molecule: long non-coding RNA, 765 nt
Organism: Suricata suricatta (meerkat)
Lineage: Eukaryota; Metazoa; Chordata; Mammalia; Carnivora; Herpestidae
Exons: 3
Source: RefSeq, a predicted model, not a curated record